Long non-coding RNA from Gossypium raimondii (Peruvian cotton), 595 nucleotides. RefSeq lists it as uncharacterized. The record is from RefSeq and is a predicted model, not a curated record. Lineage: Eukaryota; Viridiplantae; Streptophyta; Magnoliopsida; Malvales; Malvaceae. The transcript has 2 exons.
AAAACUGAAGAGUGACUCAAAGCCUCUCUCCCUCUCCUCUUCUCCGGCCAAUAUGGCCACCAUCUGUCCGUCGGCUACCCGCCGGCCACCGGCGACGGCACCGCCGUGCAUGGUGGCCGGGAAACCCAAAAGUGCCCCUUUUUAGCCCGUUUUAAGCCUAGAUUUUAGAUCUAGAAGACAAAUGCCUGAAAAGUAAAAAAAAAAGAAGAAGAAAAGAUUCGACCUUUGCCCCCUUUUUUACCGAUCUCGACGCCGGGAAAAAGACCACCGACGGAGGGGCCACGGGCCGAUUCUGAUUCAUUUGUUUGUCUGCACCUCAACAAUAUGACAGGAGCCACCAACAUCCACACUGCAACAAAUAUCAAGUCCUUAAGGAUCGUCCGAAACUCAUCGAUAAUAGUCGAGUUAUGUACUUACAGUAAACACUGACGGCUAGCCAUUCGUUCACUAUCCUCACCCAAGUACUUGUCCAACCGACAUCGAUCGUCCAUCUGUGAAAUCAAACCAUGUCACAACCAGUCCUAUAAUCAAAUAAGUGAUUCUUCAAAUGUAAUACAUACUUUUUAAUAAUAUGAUGAGUAUUCCAUCCGAUCAA